Sphaerodactylus townsendi is the source of this 157-nucleotide small nuclear RNA. RefSeq annotates it as U1 spliceosomal RNA. The transcript has a single exon. Lineage: Eukaryota; Metazoa; Chordata; Lepidosauria; Squamata; Sphaerodactylidae. The record is from RefSeq and is a predicted model, not a curated record.
GCUUUUACCUGGCAAGGGAGACACCUUGAUCACGAAGGAGGUUUUCCCAGGGUGAGGCUCAUCCAUUGCGGGUGUGCUGACCCCUGCAAUUUCCCCAAAUGCGGGAAACUCAACUGCAUAGUUUGUGUAGCUUUUACCAGAAUUUAACUGCUAAGAC